This 484-nucleotide ribosomal RNA is filed under the name uncultured bacterium. RNAcentral's name for it is "partial 16S ribosomal RNA". It matches the Rfam family "Bacterial small subunit ribosomal RNA", at positions 28 to 507 of the family's 1533-position model. The record is from RNAcentral.
GUUGAACGCUGGCGGCAGGCCUAACACAUGCAAGUCGAACGGAAGAAGGGAGCUUGCUCCUGGUGUCAGCGUCGGGAGCGUGAGUGAUACCUGGGAAUCUGCCGGGUAGUGGUGGGGAACGACCUGAAACGGGCGCGGAUACCACCUACGUGCUGAGGGGGAAGGUGGGGGGGGUUCGGAAAGCACGCUAUGAGAGGGGCCUAGGUCGGAUGAGCUAGUUGGUGGGGUGAGGGCCUGCCAAGGCGACGAUCCGUAACUGGUCUGAGAGGAUGAUCAGUCACACUGGAACUGAGACACGGUCCAGACUCCUACGGGAGGCAGCAGUGGGGAAUAUUGGACAAUGGGCGAAAGCCUGAUCCAGCCAUGCCGCGUGUGUGAAGACGGCCUUCGGAUUGUAAAGCACUUUAAGGUGUGAGGAAGGGCAGUAAGUUAAUACCUUGCUGGUUUGACGUUACCAACAGAAUAAGCACCGGCUAACUUCGUG